Molecule: ribosomal RNA, 253 nt
Filed under: uncultured bacterium
Lineage: Bacteria
Description: partial 16S ribosomal RNA
Rfam family: Bacterial small subunit ribosomal RNA
Source: RNAcentral
UACGUAGGGGGCUAGCGUUGUCCGGAAUCAUUGGGCGUAAAGAGCGUGUAGGCGGCCCGGUAAGUCCGCUGUGAAAGUCGGGGGCUCAACCCUCGAAUGCCGGUGGAUACUGUCGGGCUAGAGUCCGGAAGAGGAGAGUGGAAUUCCUGGUGUAGCGGUGAAAUGCGCAGAUAUCAGGAAGAACACCAAUGGCGAAGGCAGCUCGCUGGGACGGUACUGACGCUGAGACGCGAAAGCGUGGGGAGCGAACAGG